RNAcentral lists this long non-coding RNA (278 nucleotides) under Actinidia chinensis (golden kiwifruit). RNAcentral's name for it is "long non-coding RNA (ACHI_LNC000904)". Lineage: Eukaryota; Viridiplantae; Streptophyta; Magnoliopsida; Ericales; Actinidiaceae. The record is from RNAcentral.
GUUCACACAGCUUAUGUGAUAAAAUAUGUAUAAGCAUGUGUAUAAGAUUGGUCUAGAUAUUUUAGAUGUGUUUUGGCUAAAAAAAAGUCUUAAGUUUUUUUGGGGUUUGUUUAGCCUGAUUUUCUUGGUUAAACAGAUGAAUUUUUAACUUGAUUUUUCAGGACAGUUUAACUUAUAUUCUUUAGUUAACCCAACCGUCAAAAUUAAUUUUUUGCUAAUUCAUUAUCUUCUAGCUAUCUAAACAAGAAAAAAUAUUUUUUUUUAUCCCACUUUUUAUA